RNAcentral lists this long non-coding RNA (1280 nucleotides) under Equus asinus (donkey). RNAcentral describes it as "lncRNA (ENSEASG00005028528.1)". Lineage: Eukaryota; Metazoa; Chordata; Mammalia; Perissodactyla; Equidae. The record is from RNAcentral.
CCAGAUCUUGUGAGCCAACCCAAACCUGGCUGGGCUCAGAGAUGGAUGAUAUGUUAUCCGGGAGCUGGGCCCUGUUCCUGUCUGAAUGGAUUCAGGAAAUGCAGGUGUACCAUUGACGAGGUUCCCGCUCAAGGUUAUGAGGCUGUAAUGAGAACACAUCCGAAUCCCCCCCAGGAGAGGCUGCCAAGAUCCUGGAGGAGGGGGAAAGAGUGUCUGGAGAAGGAGGUGGCUGUGACCGAGAUAAGCUCCAGCCUUCCACAGCUGUCAAUCAGGGAUUUAGAGGGACUUAGAGUCACAUUUUUCCCAUCUAAAAAGAGGAUUUCAGACUAUCUGCUCUCUGGGUUGCAUGAUAUGAAGAAUAAGUCAUAUGGUGGCCAGCAUUUAAAAGAAACUAUCCAUCAAGUCUAAACAAGAGUCUCCAAGUUACCAGCUGACUGCUUCUAGACAUCUUCAUCCCUCUCCUCUAUCCAGUCUCCAUCAAUGCCUCCUCCUCUCGGAAGCCUUCCUGAAGUCCAUCAGGCAGACAUGGGCACUUUUUAUAGGAAUGAAUUCUACUUGAGACCAAAGCCCUUGAUUUCUUCACUUGGCAUUCUCAGUGCCUGGCAAAGCGCCUGAUGCAAGGUCUGUGGCCCCUAUUCAGACAAAGUUGCUGCCUUGAAGAACAGACGCCGGGGAUAAAGUACAACUUUUCCAUCCACUGCACCAGCAAUAUGAUUCCGUGGAAAAGGCGACUGUGAAUUCAGUUAGAAUGGGUUGAAAUCCUGCCUCUUAGUAGCUCUAUGACCUUGUUCAUGCCACUUACCCUUCUGAGCAUCAUUUUUAUCACUAGAAAAGUAGAGAUAGUAACACUUAUCACAUAUUGUUGAAAGUAGGCAUUCAAUAAAUGUUACUUUCCUUCCCUCCAGGUAGUAAGCCAUGAGGGAAAAAGAAUUGAUAGGGAAACUUCCUAAACUGGGAAGAAAUUGGCCAGAUUUCCAACGAGGGAAGGUUUACUGUUGAAAUAAAUUGGUUGGGGAAAGGAACAGUAGAGGUAGGAAUCUUCAAAAAUUGGAAUCUAUAUCAAAUCACUCACUUUGACUCUACAGAUAUUUAUUGAACACCUACUAUGGGACAGACAUUCUUCUGAGUCCUGAGGCUAUGAGGAGGAAUAAGAGAGACAGUCCUGCUAUCAGGAGCUCCUGAGAGCUCACAAGCUAUCAGGAAAGCCAUUCAUUCAAGAUGUACAUACUUACGUAAUGAGCAUUUUGAAGAGUGCUGUGGAAGCAUAUAGGAAUACAGAG